UCUUCUUAACAAAGGAGAAACUCCUGGGAAGG
This 32-nucleotide non-coding RNA is filed under the name Rattus norvegicus (Norway rat). Lineage: Eukaryota; Metazoa; Chordata; Mammalia; Rodentia; Muridae. The record is from RNAcentral.